GACGUAGGGCGCGAGCGUUGUCCGGAUUUAUUGGGCGUAAAGAGCUCGUAGGCGGCUUGUCGCGUCGUCCGUGAAAACCCACAGCUCAACUGUGGGCUUGCGGUCGAUACGGGCAGGCUAGAGUUCGGUAGGGGAGACUGGAAUUCCUGGUGUAGCGGUGAAAUGCGCAGAUAUCAGGAAGAACACCCGUGGCGAAGGCGGUUCUCUGGGACGGUACUGACGCUGAGACGCGAAAGCGUGGGGAGCGAACAGG
This 253-nucleotide ribosomal RNA is filed under the name uncultured bacterium. RNAcentral describes it as "partial 16S ribosomal RNA". It matches the Rfam family "Bacterial small subunit ribosomal RNA", at positions 524 to 776 of the family's 1533-position model. The record is from RNAcentral.